GGUUAAGCGACUAAGCGUACACGGUGGAUGCCCUGGCAGUCAGAGGCGAUGAAGGACGUGCUAAUCUGCGAAAAGCGUCGGUAAGGUGAUAUGAACCGUUAUAACCGGCGAUGUCCGAAUGGGGAAACCCAGUGUGUUUCGACACACUAUCAUUAACUGAAUCCAUAGGUUAAUGAGGCGAACCGGGGGAACUGAAACAUCUAAGUACCCCGAGGAAAAGAAAUCAACCGAGAUUCCCCCAGUAGCGGCGAGCGAACGGGGAGGAGCCCAGAGCCUGAAUCAGUGUGUGUGUUAGUGGAAGCGUCUGGAAAGGCGUGCGAUACAGGGUGACAGCCCCGUACACAAAAAUGCACAUGCUGUGAGCUCGAAGAGUAGGGCGGGACACGUGGUAUCCUGUCUGAAUAUGGGGGGACCAUCCUCCAAGGCUAAAUACUCCUGACUGACCGAUAGUGAACCAGUACCGUGAGGGAAAGGCGAAAAGAACCCCGGCGAGGGGAGUGAAAAAGAACCUGAAACCGUGUACGUACAAGCAGUGGGAGCCCUGAUUUAUCAGGGUGACUGCGUACCUUUUGUAUAAUGGGUCAGCGACUUAUAUUCUGUAGCAAGGUUAACCGAAUAGGGGAGCCGAAGGGAAACCGAGUCUUAACUGGGCGUUAAGUUGCAGGGUAUAGACCCGAAACCCGGUGAUCUAGCCAUGGGCAGGUUGAAGGUUGGGUAACACUAACUGGAGGACCGAACCGACUAAUGUUGAAAAAUUAGCGGAUGACUUGUGGCUGGGGGUGAAAGGCCAAUCAAACCGGGAGAUAGCUGGUUCUCCCCGAAAGCUAUUUAGGUAGCGCCUCGUGAAUUCAUCUCCGGGGGUAGAGCACUGUUUCGGCAAGGGGGUCAUCCCGACUUACCAACCCGAUGCAAACUGCGAAUACCGGAGAAUGUUAUCACGGGAGACACACGGCGGGUGCUAACGUCCGUCGUGAAGAGGGAAACAACCCAGACCGCCAGCUAAGGUCCCAAAGUCAUGGUUAAGUGGGAAACGAUGUGGGAAGGCCCAGACAGCCAGGAUGUUGGCUUAGAAGCAGCCAUCAUUUAAAGAAAGCGUAAUAGCUCACUGGUCGAGUCGGCCUGCGCGGAAGAUGUAACGGGGCUAAACCAUGCACCGAAGCUGCGGCAGCGACGCUGAUGCGUUGUUGGGUAGGGGAGCGUUCUGUAAGCCUGUGAAGGUGUGCUGUGAGGCAUGCUGGAGGUAUCAGAAGUGCGAAUGCUGACAUAAGUAACGAUAAAGCGGGUGAAAAGCCCGCUCGCCGGAAGACCAAGGGUUCCUGUCCAACGUUAAUCGGGGCAGGGUGAGUCGACCCCUAAGGCGAGGCCGAAAGGCGUAGUCGAUGGGAAACAGGUUAAUAUUCCUGUACUUGGUGUUACUGCGAAGGGGGGACGGAGAAGGCUAUGUUGGCCGGGCGACGGUUGUCCCGGUUUAAGCGUGUAGGCUGGUUUUCCAGGCAAAUCCGGAGAAUCAAGGCUGAGGCGUGAUGACGAGGCACUACGGUGCUGAAGCAACAAAUGCCCUGCUUCCAGGAAAAGCCUCUAAGCAUCAGGUAACAUCAAAUCGUACCCCAAACCGACACAGGUGGUCAGGUAGAGAAUACCAAGGCGCUUGAGAGAACUCGGGUGAAGGAACUAGGCAAAAUGGUGCCGUAACUUCGGGAGAAGGCACGCUGAUAUGUAGGUGAAGCGACUUGCUCGUGGAGCUGAAAUCAGUCGAAGAUACCAGCUGGCUGCAACUGUUUAUUAAAAACACAGCACUGUGCAAACACGAAAGUGGACGUAUACGGUGUGACGCCUGCCCGGUGCCGGAAGGUUAAUUGAUGGGGUCAGCGCAAGCGAAGCUCUUGAUCGAAGCCCCGGUAAACGGCGGCCGUAACUAUAACGGUCCUAAGGUAGCGAAAUUCCUUGUCGGGUAAGUUCCGACCUGCACGAAUGGCGUAAUGAUGGCCAGGCUGUCUCCACCCGAGACUCAGUGAAAUUGAACUCGCUGUGAAGAUGCAGUGUACCCGCGGCAAGACGGAAAGACCCCGUGAACCUUUACUAUAGCUUGACACUGAACACUGGUCCUUGAUGUGUAGGAUAGGUGGGAGGCUUUGAAGUGUGGACGCCAGUCUGCAUGGAGCCGCCCUUGAAAUACCACCCUUUAAUGGCUGGUGUUCUAACGUAGGCCCCUUAUCGGGGUUGCGGACAGUGUCUGGUGGGUAGUUUGACUGGGGCGGUCUCCUCCUAAAGAGUAACGGAGGAGCACGAAGGUUGGCUAAUCCUGGUCGGACAUCAGGAGGUUAGUGCAAUGGCAUAAGCCAGCUUGACUGCGAGCGUGACGGCGCGAGCAGGUGCGAAAGCAGGUCAUAGUGAUCCGGUGGUUCUGAAUGGAAGGGCCAUCGCUCAACGGAUAAAAGGUACUCCGGGGAUAACAGGCUGAUACCGCCCAAGAGUUCAUAUCGACGGCGGUGUUUGGCACCUCGAUGUCGGCUCAUCACAUCCUGGGGCUGAAGUAGGUCCCAAGGGUAUGGCUGUUCGCCAUUUAAAGUGGUACGCGAGCUGGGUUUAGAACGUCGUGAGACAGUUCGGUCCCUAUCUGCCGUGGGCGCUGGAGAACUGAGGGGGGCUGCUCCUAGUACGAGAGGACCGGAGUGGACGCAUCACUGGUGUUCGGGUUGUCAUGCCAAUGGCACUGCCCGGUAGCUAAAUGCGGAAGAGAUAAGUGCUGAAAGCAUCUAAGCACGAAACUUGCCCCGAGAUGAGUUCUCCCUGACCCUUUAAGGGUCCUGAAGGAACGUUGAAGACGACGACGUUGAUAGGCCGGGUGUGUAAGCGCAGCGAUGCGUUGAGCUAACCGGUACUAAUGAACCGCGAGGCUUAACCUU
This 2906-nucleotide ribosomal RNA is filed under the name Escherichia albertii. RNAcentral's name for it is "23S ribosomal RNA". It matches the Rfam family "Bacterial large subunit ribosomal RNA". Lineage: Bacteria; Pseudomonadati; Pseudomonadota; Gammaproteobacteria; Enterobacterales; Enterobacteriaceae. The record is from RNAcentral.